UUAAAACUUUUCAGCUAGAGUAUGAUAGAGGAAAGCAGAAUUUCUAGUGUAGAGGUGAAAUUCGUAGAUAUUAGAAAGAAUACCAAUUGCGAAGGCAGCUUUCUGGAUCAUUACUGACACUGAGGAACGAAAGCAUGGGUAGCGAAGAGGAUUAGAUACCCUCGUAGUCCAUGCCGUAAACGAUGUGUGUUAGACGUUGGAAAUUUAUUUUCAGUGUCGCAGGGAAACCGAUAAACACACCGCCUGGGGAGUACGACCGCAAGGUUAAAACUCAAAUGAAUUGACGGGGACCCGCACAAGUAGUGGAGCAUGUGGUUUAAUUCGAAGAUACGCGCAGAACCUUACCAACACUUGACAUGUUCGUCGCGACUCUAAGAGAUUAGAGUUUUCGGUUCGGCCGGACGAAACACAGGUGCUGCAUGGCUGUCGUCAGCUCGUGUCGUGAGAUGUUGGGUUAAGUCCCGCAACGAGCGCAACCCUCACUUUUAGUUGCCAUCAUUAAGUUGGGCACUCUGAAAGAACUGCCAGUGAUAAGCUGGAGGAAGGUGGGGAUGACGUCAAGUCCUCAUGGCCCUUACGUGUUGGGCUACACACGUGCUACAAUGGUAUCUACAACAGGAAGCAAGACUGCGAAGUUAAGCAAAUCCCUAAAAGAUACCUCAGUUCGGAUUGCACUCUGCAACUCGAGUGCAUGAAGCUGGAAUUACUAGUAAUCGUGGAUCAGCGUGCCACGGUGAAUGCGUUCCCGGGUCUUGUACACACCGCCCGUCACACCAUGGGAGUUGGUUCUACCUUAAGGCAAGGUUUUAAACCCUUGACCACGGUAUAGUCAGCGACUGGGGUGAAGUCGUAACAAGGUAACCGUA
Molecule: ribosomal RNA, 866 nt
Filed under: uncultured bacterium
Lineage: Bacteria
Description: bacterial SSU rRNA
Rfam family: Bacterial small subunit ribosomal RNA
Source: RNAcentral